CACUGUACAGGACAGUGUGGACGAUAUGGAGGUAGCUGUUACGGAUACCUGGAAAAAAAAAAAAGGCCAAAAACGGUCAAAUGUUGAUGCCUUUGAUUCGAAGGAGCAGAAUUAGGUCCAGAUCGUGUCAGGCUCGGCGGACCCUCGAGGAACGUCUGACAUUGGAAACCCUUUGGUGGUGCCGGAGUCGUGUGCGGAUGUGGAAACUUCGCUUGUUCCACUGGCCGACUCCGAGCGGGACACAGAGAACGGUCCAACUUGUCUGUUUAUUUGUUCAUCUCUUCAGACGUUGAUGGAACUCCUCUAUUUACUUUUCUUUCCAAGCCUUCAAGUUAAUCAGCCACCUUUUGAUUUUACGUAAGUAGUGUGAAUGAAAUAUUUGAAUAAAUGCACGGAUUAUUGUUUGUAUUCUGAGUCAUAACAACUAGUUUUAAGUUUCAUGGAUAGAAUUCGCAAUAUCUUUGAAUGAUUCUGGCAUGUCUGCAGCUUCAUGUUGCAUGGGUUUUGUUUUGUUGUUGUUUUUUUCAUUACAGCAAGGAAUGAGACUUUCCAAAAGCAUCGGCCUCACCUGGGGCUUCUUGACAUUGCUAGGUCUUGCUUUGGGGGAAACCACAUCGAAGGGUGAUCCUUCUAUGUGUUCAUGGUUUUCAACUAUUCGCAGGCAACGUGUAAGUAAUAUACCUGUGGCUGUAGUUGGAGGCUUACAAACUUUAACUCCUUCAUACAGGUUUUGGAAAAUGCUCCGCAUGGUAGCGUACAGUAAGCAGCCAAGUGCCAGGCAGAAGUGUGCUAUGGUGGCCCGUAGACCAGCACGAUCAGUGGGUCCCAGCCUUGCAGUGAUACGGACAUUCUGGGACUCCAAGUCACCAAAUGCACCUCGUCCACCUCUUUAUGAAUAUCGCCACCCAAAGGAAGACAAGUCGAUGAUGUAUUUUCAGUUGCCGGAUGUGUGGCUCACUGAGAUGACCCCUUUGAGAGAAGGGUAUGGGAGCGAUUCCAUCAUCUGGGGACCCACUGCUACAGCUGAAUAUCCUACUGCCUCUCGUGCAAGCCCAACAGUUAACCCGCAGGACACAACGGGCCCAUUUCCUGUUGACAACCCUGAAAUGGUUAGCCAAGAUGAUGAGAUGGAGGGGAAUCGUCCAAGCAUCAAUCCCACAACUCCACUACCACCAUCACCAGUAUUGCCAGAUUGGAGGCGUCACACAGAUUUGAAUGUGAACGACUCUAAUAAGGCUGUUGGUGUUCGAGGGUGGUGGAGCGGACAGAGUGGUUACACGUACCAAAAAAGCAGGGGCUCGUUUGUCGCUCCCACUCUGACCUGCCUUGACUCACUGGCAGCUUGCACAGAGAGCCAGAGCAGCGGACUCACGGCACGGCAAGUUACCACCAUUGCCAGCAUCUGCUCCAUAAGCUUUGUGGUCAUUGCUGCUGCAGUCGUGCUUCGUACCAGCUGGGUUCGGUCACGGAACCAUUUGCGGCAUUCAUUACAACGACGCGACGGUGGUGGCAUUGAGGAGACAUGCCCUGUGACUCUGUCAUCACCAUCCAGCCGAAAGCCGCCAGCUGUGCCACCAAUUUUCACAACAUAUAGUGAUAUUGGUGUGGCGAUGUCACCUCCACAGCCAUCGCAGCCACCAUCCUGUGUCCUCUCAUCACCUGUUAUAAUCACAACAGCAUCCGACAUUGCACCUAGACUGUAUGACGGGAGAAGAAUUCCUCUGUACACUGUCUCCACCACCACUACUGUCGCCUCUGUUGCUCCUACCUUGACAUCGGCUUCAUUUCCACAGCUCCUGCCGGGAAGUCUUCACGGACCACCCAUCGCUAAAACAGCCUACAACGGCAGCAGGUUCGUCGCGCGGACGCGGGGCGGGCGUGGCGCGGCGCUGGGGGGGGCAUCAGCCACAGCCACGACGCCAGCGCGCGUCUUUCGUGCGAGAGCCGAGGUACACUGUGAUCCUGAGCUAACGUAGGCCUGGUGGGCCGGCCAGCCGCAACGAAGCGCUCCUGGCCAGGUGAGGCCUGCUUCCUGCAUACCCAAUACUGCCUUACUCCCUGCUUCCCAAAAUGAUUUGGUCCUGCUUCAGAAUUUCCA
Molecule: long non-coding RNA, 2098 nt
Filed under: Eptatretus burgeri (inshore hagfish)
Lineage: Eukaryota; Metazoa; Chordata; Myxini; Myxiniformes; Myxinidae
Description: lncRNA (ENSEBUG00000017367.1)
Source: RNAcentral